This 457-nucleotide long non-coding RNA is filed under the name Phoenix dactylifera (date palm). Its description in RNAcentral is "long non-coding RNA (PDAC_LNC004870)". Lineage: Eukaryota; Viridiplantae; Streptophyta; Magnoliopsida; Arecales; Arecaceae. The record is from RNAcentral.
CAGUGGAAGCAUCCCAGCAGCCGAAGAUCCCAGGCGAUUCAACUUCAUCUACCCCGUGUUUCAUCCAUUCCCAAAUUUCUACAACGUUUCCAGCUGAAGAAUCUCAAGCGAUUCAACUUCAUCCCGCAUCUCAAGCAACCGGAUCAUCCCCAAACCUCCACGCGUCUCACCAGCCGUGCCUUCAACAUGCUAUAAAAAGGGGAGCCAUCCGGUGAAGAAGGAGGGGACGGGAGGGAGAAAGCAGCCGGGAGAGCCGUGUGCGAAGGAGGAGACCAGCAGCCGACGGAAGAAGGGGAGAAGGAGCCGACGGAAGAAGAGGAGAAGGAGCCGACGGAACCAGGAAGUCUUCAUUUGCAUCUUCCGAUCAAUCCUCUCAGCCGGGCAAGAGAAGAGGAGAGCCCAAGGGAGAAGAAGAAAGGAAACAGAGUACUCUGUUUCCUAAUCGAAGAAAGAAAAA